GAUGAACGCUGGCGGCGUGCCUAACACAUGCAAGUCGAACGGACUUACAUUGAAGCCUAGCGAUAUGUAAGUUAGUGGCGGACGGGUGAGUAACGCGUGGGUAACCUGCCUUGUACUGGGGGACAACAGUUGGAAACGACUGCUAAUACCGCAUAAGCGCACAGCUUCGCAUGAAGCAGUGUGAAAAACUCCGGUGGUACAAGAUGGACCCGCGUCUGAUUAGCUGGUUGGUGAGGUAACGGCCCACCAAGGCGACGAUCAGUAGCCGGCCUGAGAGGGUGAACGGCCACAUUGGGACUGAGACACGGCCCAAACUCCUACGGGAGGCAGCAGUGGGGAAUAUUGCACAAUGGGGGAAACCCUGAUGCAGCAACGCCGCGUGAGUGAAGAAGUAUUUCGGUAUGUAAAGCUCUAUCAGCAGGAAAGAAAAUGACGGUACCUG
This 442-nucleotide ribosomal RNA is filed under the name uncultured bacterium. Its description in RNAcentral is "bacterial SSU rRNA". It matches the Rfam family "Bacterial small subunit ribosomal RNA", at positions 28 to 481 of the family's 1533-position model. The record is from RNAcentral.